This 695-nucleotide ribosomal RNA is filed under the name uncultured Bacteroidota bacterium. RNAcentral describes it as "bacterial SSU rRNA". It matches the Rfam family "Bacterial small subunit ribosomal RNA", at positions 32 to 714 of the family's 1533-position model. The record is from RNAcentral. Lineage: Bacteria; Pseudomonadati; Bacteroidota.
AACGCUAGCUACAGGCUUAACACAUGCAAGUCGCGGGGCAGCGGGAAGAAGCUUCGGCUUUUUUGCCGGCGACCGGCGAAUGGGUGAGUAACACGUAUCCAACCUGUCCGUAAGCGCGGAAUAGCCUCCCGAAAGGGAAAUUAAUGCCGCAUGAGGUAUUUUCGGAGCAUUCCGGGAAUACGAAAGGCUUCGGCCGUUUACGGGUGGGGAUGCGUCUGAUUAGGCAGUUGGCGGGGUAACGGCCCACCAAACCGACGAUCAGUAGGGGUUCUGAGAGGAAGGUCCCCCACAUUGGAACUGAGACAUGGUCCAAACUCCUACGGGAGGCAGCAGUGAGGAAUAUUGGUCAAUGGGCGAGAGCCUGAACCAGCCAAGUAGCGUGCAGGAUGACGGCCCUAUGGGUUGUAAACUGCUUUUGCAGGGGGGUAAAGUGAGCUACGUGUAGCUUAUUGCAAGUACCCUGCGAAUAAGGAUCGGCUAAUUCCGUGCCAGCAGCCGCGGUAAUACGGAAGAUCCGAGCGUUAUCCGGAUUUAUUGGGUUUAAAGGGAGCGUAGGCGGAAGUCCAAGUCAGCUGUGAAAGUCUGCGGCUUAACCGUAGAAUUGCAGUUGAAACUGGACUCCUUGAGUACACAUAAGGAUGGUGGAAUUUGUGGUGUAGCGGUGAAAUGCAUAGAUAUCACGAAGAACUCCGAUU